Molecule: ribosomal RNA, 902 nt
Filed under: Lecanora chondroderma
Lineage: Eukaryota; Fungi; Ascomycota; Lecanoromycetes; Lecanorales; Lecanoraceae
Description: SSU rRNA
Rfam family: Bacterial small subunit ribosomal RNA
Source: RNAcentral
AUGUAUUAGCAAUAGCUAAUUGCAUCAAUGUUGAAUAAUUGAUGUAAUAUCGACUAUGUCGAAUAAAAUUCUAGGUAGAAUUAUGAUAAUGACAUUGUCUGCCUAUGUGUCUUGACCAAAUUACGUGCCAGCAGUCGCGGUAAUACGUAGAAGACUAGUGUUAUUCAUCUUUAAUAGGUUUAAAGGGUACCUAGACGGUAAAUCAAGCCUGCAACAAGGGACUGAUGUACUAGAGUUACUUACGAGGGGGUAUUAAAGUACUGCUGGUGUAGAGAUGAAAUUCUGUCAUACCUCAUUUUUAAUUAAAUACUAUGGCACAGGUAUAGGCGAAAGCAUCCCCUUAUGUGAUAACUGACGUUGAAGGACGAAGGCUUUGUGUAGCGAACAGGAUUAGAUACCCCAGUAGUCAAAGCAGAAAAUGAUGAAUGUCAAAGAUUAGACAUAUAAUAGUUUAUUCUAUAAAUGAAAGUGUAAGCAUUCCACCUCAAGAGUAAUUUGGCAACAUUGGAACUGAAAUCAUUAGACCGUUUCUGAAACCAGUAGUGAAGUAUGUUGUUUAAUUUGAUAAUACGCAAAAAACCUUACCACAAUUUGAAUAUUUAGACUUUUAAUUCCUUUUCUUUUUUUGUUUUUAUGUUAGGUUGCGUUGCGUUGUGUUGUGUUGCGUUGCAAAACAUCAGCAUAAAAAUGAAAUUAACAAGAAGGGAAGAGAAAUAUAUUUACAAGCGUUGCACGGCUAUUUUCAGUUAAUGUCGUGAGAUUCUGGUUAGUUCCAUUAAUUAACGUAAACCCUUACUUUAUUUUUAUAUAGAGUUGUUCCCCGCUAUAUUGGAUAAGAUAACAGGGACUAAAGAAGUCAUCAUGACCUAAAUAUUGUGGCUAUUAGACGUUGCCCACCAAUA